AAUCAACGCUGGCGGCGUGCCUCAGACAUGCAAGUCGAACGCGAAAGUCCCCUUCGGGGGACAAGUAGAGUGGCGCACGGGUGAGUAACACGUAGGUAAUCUACCUUCGGAUGGGGAAUAACAACCGGAAACGGUUGCUAAUACCGCAUAAUGCAGCGGCACCUAAUGGUGACAGUUGUUAAAGCGGGGGAUCGAAAGACCUCGCGUCUGAAGAGGAGCCUGCGGCGGAUUAGCAGUUGGUAAGGUAGCGGCUUACCAAGGCGACGAUCCGUAGCCGGCCUGAGAGGGCGGUCGGCCACACUGACACUGACAUACGGGUCAGACUCCUACGGGAGGCAGCAGUCGGGAAUUUUGGGCAAUGGGCGAAAGCCUGACCCAGCAACGCCGCGUGAAGGAUGAAAU
This 402-nucleotide ribosomal RNA is filed under the name uncultured bacterium. RNAcentral describes it as "bacterial SSU rRNA". It matches the Rfam family "Bacterial small subunit ribosomal RNA", at positions 32 to 414 of the family's 1533-position model. The record is from RNAcentral.